RNAcentral lists this non-coding RNA (24 nucleotides) under Drosophila melanogaster (fruit fly). Lineage: Eukaryota; Metazoa; Arthropoda; Insecta; Diptera; Drosophilidae. The record is from RNAcentral. RNAcentral also lists the same sequence under 4 other names.
UGGAAAACUAGUGAUUUUGUUGUU